RNAcentral lists this ribosomal RNA (275 nucleotides) under uncultured bacterium. RNAcentral describes it as "partial 16S ribosomal RNA". It matches the Rfam family "Bacterial small subunit ribosomal RNA", at positions 338 to 605 of the family's 1533-position model. The record is from RNAcentral.
CCUACGGGUGGCUGCAGUGGGGAAUCUUGCACAAUGCGCGAAAGCGUGAUGCAGCAACGCCGCGUGGGGGAAGACGGCCUUCGGGUUGUAAACCCCUUUCAGUUGGGACGAAGCUUCGUUGAUUAAGAGUUGACUGGAGUGACGGUACCUUCAGAAGAAGCCCCGGCUAACUACGUGCCAGCAGCCGCGGUAAUACGUAGGGGGCAAGCGUUGUCCGGAAUCAUUGGGCGUAAAGCGCGUGUAGGCGGUUCGGUAAGUCUGCUGUGAAAGUCCAG